GAAAAUAACAAUGAUUUCCCUAGUAACGGCGAGUGAAGAGGAAAGAGCUCAAAGUUGGAACCUGUUUGGCUUAGCUAAACCGGAUUGUAAACUGUAGAAACAUUUUCCAGAUACACUAGACAAAAAAGUCCUUUGGAACAGGGCAUCAUAGAGGGUGAGAAUCCCGUCUUUGGUCUAAGUAGUUGUCUAUUGUGAUAUGUUUUCAAAGAGUCAGGUUGUUUGGGAAUGCAGCCUAAAUUGGGUGGUAAAUCUCACCUAAAGCUAAAUAUUUGCGAGAGACCGAUAGCGAACAAGUACCGUGAGGGAAAGAUGAAAAGAACUUUGAAAAGAGAGUUAAACAGUAUGUGAAAUUGUUAAAAGGGAACCGUUUGGAGCCAGAUUGGCUUGAUUGUAAUCAACCUAGAAUUCGUUUUGGGUGCACUUGCAGUCUAUGCCUGCCAACGACAGUUUGAUUUGGAGGAAAAAAUUAAUAGGAAUGUGGCCUUUCGAGGUGUUAUAGCCUAUUAUCAUACUCUGGAUUGGACUGAGGAACGCAGUGAAUGCCUUUAGGCAAGAUUGCUGGGCGCUUUCGCUAAUAAAUGUUAGAAUUUCUGCUUCGGGUGGUGCUAAUGUUUAAAGGAGGAACUCGUUUAGUAUAUUUUUUAUUCGCUUAGGUUGUUGGCUUAAUGACUCU
This 673-nucleotide ribosomal RNA is filed under the name Mucor racemosus f. racemosus. RNAcentral's name for it is "eukaryotic LSU rRNA". It matches the Rfam family "Eukaryotic large subunit ribosomal RNA", at positions 61 to 641 of the family's 3401-position model. The record is from RNAcentral. Lineage: Eukaryota; Fungi; Mucoromycota; Mucoromycetes; Mucorales; Mucoraceae.